Molecule: ribosomal RNA, 253 nt
Filed under: uncultured bacterium
Lineage: Bacteria
Description: partial 16S ribosomal RNA
Rfam family: Bacterial small subunit ribosomal RNA
Source: RNAcentral
UACGUAGGGGGCAAGCGUUGUCCGGAAUCAUUGGGCGUAAAGCGCGUGUAGGCGGUUCGAUAAGUCUGCUGUGAAAGUCCAGGGCUCAACCCUGGGAUGCCGGUGGAUACUGUCGGACUAGAGUACGGAAGGGGCGAGUGGAAUUCCCGGUGUAGCGGUGAAAUGCGCAGAUAUCGGGAGGAACACCAAUUGCGAAGGCAGCUCGCUGGGACGUUACUGACGCUGAGACGCGAAAGCGUGGGGAGCAAACAGG